This is a long non-coding RNA of Micropterus dolomieu (smallmouth bass), 211 nucleotides long. RefSeq lists it as uncharacterized. The record is from RefSeq and is a predicted model, not a curated record. NCBI's taxonomy places the organism in Eukaryota, Metazoa, Chordata, Actinopteri, Centrarchiformes, Centrarchidae. The transcript has 3 exons.
AACUUGCUGCCUUUUAUACACUCCCUCCUGCAGCUUCAUGGUUUGCUCCUGCAGCUCUUAAGCAGGUGCUUGGGCCUACAACACUCCUUUGCCUCCGCCCCCUGCUGAAGAGACAACCAGGAAGAGGCAGGAUGGCCAGACCCCCCCCUGUGGAACCACUCACAAAGACAGCUAUCAAAUGAUUCACAAAUUAAAUAAACAAUCAAAAUAA